Molecule: long non-coding RNA, 941 nt
Organism: Neofelis nebulosa (Clouded leopard)
Lineage: Eukaryota; Metazoa; Chordata; Mammalia; Carnivora; Felidae
Exons: 2
Source: RefSeq, a predicted model, not a curated record
CCAGGUUCUAGAAGACCACGGAUGUCACACACUAUGGCUGUGUUCUUAGAUUGGAUCCCAGGUUCCAACGCUGUGGCUGGCCUUGGAGAAGCAGAGGGGCAGGAACCCACUGCCAGGACCUGGACAGACCCAACCUUGUCCUCCCUGGAUCCCACAGGCCCCUCUUCCCUGCCUCUCCCUGAUGCUGGCGGCUCGGGGAUGCUGCUGAGAGAGGCUGGUCCCCAGCUCUGAGAGGCUUCAAGGCAUCACCAUGGAGACGCUCCAGGCCGCCAGCCACACAAAAGGAGCUGUGAGUUCCCCAGCUCACCUGGGACUCCGAGCUAACGAGGAGGUGGCAAAAGUGUUUCAUUUUCUCUCCUUGUUCUCUUACAAAAAGAAAGAGGCAAUUUACACAGACAAAUAAACCCCACCCUGCCCUGAAAGGAAGCUGCUAAGCCUGUCCUUCCAUGGUGACUGGCCUCCUGAGAGAAGAAAGGAGAAGCCUGGGCCUGGAAGUCUACAAUGGGACAUUCGCAGGAAAGAAAGGGGGAUGGAGGGACCAACAGGAAACCUAGGGUUGGCCCCCUUCUCCUACCCAAAUAGAGAGGCCAGCUCAGAGCCAAGUGUAUGAGUGUUGCCCUCCAGAUACAGUUAUCAAAAGUUCCUCCAGCAAAGAAGCUACUUCUGGCUCCAUGGAGCCGCCUCCUGGUCCCUUGACGGGAAUACUCUUGACCGCUCUGUUGGUGACCGUGACAAACCCCAGACAAACCCCAGCACCUAAAGCUCAAGGCAGAGAAGCAAGGAUCUCACAGGCUAAGAAAUAUACCUGCCUUCUGAUCCGGAGUUCCAUUUAAAGGAUUAUGCUAUAAAAGCCUUACUUAUCCUGCAAAAAGACAAAUGCAUAAGGAUGUUCAAUUCAGCAUUGUUUAUAGUAAUAAAAAAUGGAAACUCAUAAAUAUCCA